Molecule: ribosomal RNA, 696 nt
Filed under: uncultured bacterium
Lineage: Bacteria
Description: bacterial SSU rRNA
Rfam family: Bacterial small subunit ribosomal RNA
Source: RNAcentral
AACGCUAGCUACAGGCUUAACACAUGCAAGUCGAGGGGAAACGACAUCGAAAGCUUGCUUUUGGUGGGCGUCGACCGGCGCACGGGUGAGUAACGCGUAUCCAACCUGCCCACCACUUGGGGAUAACCUUGCGAAAGUAAGACUAAUACCCAAUGACGUCUCUAGAAGACAUCUGAAAGAGAUUAAAGAUUUAUCGGUGAUGGAUGGGGAUGCGUCUGAUUAGCUUGUUGGCGGGGUAACGGCCCACCAAGGCGACGAUCAGUAGGGGUUCUGAGAGGAAGGUCCCCCACAUUGGAACUGAGACACGGUCCAAACUCCUACGGGAGGCAGCAGUGAGGAAUAUUGGUCAAUGGGCGAGAGCCUGAACCAGCCAAGUAGCGUGCAGGAUGACGGCCCUAUGGGUUGUAAACUGCUUUUAUAAGGGAAUAAAGUUAGUCUCGUGAGACUUUUUGCAUGUACCUUAUGAAUAAGGACCGGCUAAUUCCGUGCCAGCAGCCGCGGUAAUACGGAAGGUCCGGGCGUUAUCCGGAUUUAUUGGGUUUAAAGGGAGCGUAGGCCGGAGAUUAAGCGUGUUGUGAAAUGUAGUGGCUCAACCUCUGCACUGCAGCGCGAACUGGUCUUCUUGAGUACGCACAACGUGGGCGGAAUUCGUGGUGUAGCGGUGAAAUGCUUAGAUAUCACGAAGAACUCCGAUUG